UACGUAGGGGGCAAGCGUUGGCCGGAAUCAUUGGGCGUAAAGCGCGUGUAGGCGGUCCGGUAAGUCCGUUGUGAAAACUGGAGGCUCAACCUUCAGACGUCGACGGAAACCGUCUGGCUAGAGUCCGGAAGAGGAGAGUGGAAUUCCUGGUGUAGCGGUGAAAUGCGCAGAUAUCAGGAAGAACACCGAUGGCGAAGGCAGCUCUCUGGGACGGUACUGACGCUGAGACGCGAAAGCGUGGGGAGCGAACAGG
RNAcentral lists this ribosomal RNA (253 nucleotides) under uncultured bacterium. Its description in RNAcentral is "partial 16S ribosomal RNA". It matches the Rfam family "Bacterial small subunit ribosomal RNA", at positions 524 to 776 of the family's 1533-position model. The record is from RNAcentral.